RNAcentral lists this ribosomal RNA (484 nucleotides) under uncultured bacterium. RNAcentral describes it as "partial 16S ribosomal RNA". It matches the Rfam family "Bacterial small subunit ribosomal RNA", at positions 30 to 507 of the family's 1533-position model. The record is from RNAcentral.
AUUGAACGCUGGCGGCAGGCCUAACACAUGCAAGUCGAGCGGAUGAAGGGAGCUUGCUCCUGGAUUCAGCGGCGGACGGGUGAGUAAUGCCUAGGAAUCUGCCUGGUAGUGGGGGAUAACGUCCGGAAACGGGCGCUAAUACCGCAUACGUCCUGAGGGAGAAAGUGGGGGAUCUUCGGACCUCACGCUAUCAGAUGAGCCUAGGUCGGAUUAGCUAGUUGGUGGGGUAAGGGCCUACCAAGGCGACGAUCCGUAACUGGUCUGAGAGGAUGAUCAGUCACACUGGAACUGAGACACGGUCCAGACUCCUACGGGAGGCAGCAGUGGGGAAUAUUGGACAAUGGGCGAAAGCCUGAUCCAGCCAUGCCGCGUGUGUGAAGAAGGACUUCGGAUUGUAAAGCACUUUAAGUUGGGAGGAAGGGCAGUAAGUUAUUACCUUGCUGUUUUGACGUUACCAACAGAAUAAGCACCGGCUAACUUCGUG